UGGGGAAUCUUGCACAAUGGGGGAAACCCUGAUGCAGCGACGCCGCGUGAGUGAUGAAGUCCUUCGGGAUGUAAAGCUCUUUCGACAGGGACGAUUAUGACGGUACCUGGAGAAGAAGCUGCGGCUAACUACGUGCCAGCAGCCGCGGUAAUACGUAGGCAGCGAACGUUGUUCGGAGUUACUGGGCGUAAAGAGUGCGUAGGCGGUUCAGUAAGUCGGGUGUGAAAACUUUGGGCUUAACCCAAAGCGUGCAUCCGAUACUGCUGUGACUUGAGUACGGUAGGGGAGCGGGGGAAUUCCUAGUGUAGCGGUGAAAUGCGCAGAUAUUAGGAGGAACACCGGUGGCGAAGGCGCCGCUCUGGGCCGAAACUGACGCUGAGGAGCGAAAGCAUGGGUAGCAAACAGGAUUAGAUACCCCUGUAGUCCCUGAGCGGGCUGGCAAGGCGCAU
RNAcentral lists this ribosomal RNA (449 nucleotides) under uncultured bacterium. Its description in RNAcentral is "bacterial SSU rRNA". It matches the Rfam family "Bacterial small subunit ribosomal RNA", at positions 355 to 825 of the family's 1533-position model. The record is from RNAcentral.